Molecule: ribosomal RNA, 375 nt
Filed under: uncultured bacterium
Lineage: Bacteria
Description: bacterial SSU rRNA
Rfam family: Bacterial small subunit ribosomal RNA
Source: RNAcentral
UAAGACGAAGGGGGCAAGCGUUGUUCGGAAUUACUGGGCGUAAAGGGCGCGUAGGCGGUCUUGUUAGUCAGGCGUGAAAGCCCUGGGCUUAACCUAGGAUGUGCGCUUGAUACUGCGAGGCUUGAGUGUGGGAGAGGUUGGUGGAAUUCCCAGUGUAGAGGUGAAAUUCGUAGAUAUUGGGAAGAACACCGGUGGCGAAGGCGGCCAACUGGACCACAACUGACGCUGAGGCGCGAAAGCGUGGGGAGCAAACAGGAUUAGAUACCCUGGUAGUCCACGCUGUAAACGAUGGGUGCUGGACGUUGGUGGGUUUACCUGCCGGUGUCGCAGCUAACGCGUUAAGCACCCCGCCUGGGGAGUACGGUCGCAAGAUUA